ACCGUAGACGCGAAACAGUCGACGUCAGUGCAUUGUUAAAAGUAGUCGUCAAAGUGUCGAACUAGAAGCUAAUAAAAAAUUGAAACCUUCUAGGUUAUCACUUCUCAGCUUACAGUAAUGGCUCACUGCCAAUGUGUGUAGUUGCAUGUAGAGGUCAUUCAUGGUCCUGUUAAAGCACAAACCAAGUCCCACGAGUACUUUUUGGAGGCCAGCUUUCACACAUUCUGUGAAACCACUCUUUACAUCCCGUACACUUUAUGGUGUGCCAAGCCUGUGUUCUUGUGGAAUUCAGUGGCUGAAAAUCUAUUCUUCGACAACUGCAGGAAUGCUGACAUAACUUAACUUAACAGGCAUUUUUUUCAAAUGUUGCCUCAUGACGCCCCUGUUAUAGAUGGACUGUGAUGGAUCUUCACCCAAUGCUAGAUUUACGGCAUUUACAAUCGCAUGAAGGCCACAAUCAUUCGGCAAUUGCUUUUGACAUCUAAAACUUUGAUCCUCCCAAACUAUCAUAAAUGGAAACCGAAUCUUCUCCUUUCGAUUUGGAUGCCACAACCCAAUGCCCCUUGCCAUCGUGGAUUAUUUGUAUCCAUUUUUCACUAGGAGCAGCGGGAAAUUCCAGAUCCCAGCCGAGAGUCGUAUCAAAUAAUCUACCAAUAUUUGGAAACUGAUGUUGGAUCAGGUUUAUAGCUGCAUUGAUAUGGCUUGAUUCAAGCCAAUACCCCGGAACGGUAAUAUCUUCGAUUUCGGCUUUUGAAAAAUUCACCUGUUUGUUUGAUCUCUGCGACCCACGGGUCUGAUAGUGACAGACCGGAGUCUGAAAAUGUAAAUAGAUAAUUAGGUACAUGUUUAAUAU
Molecule: long non-coding RNA, 853 nt
Organism: Daphnia pulex (common water flea)
Lineage: Eukaryota; Metazoa; Arthropoda; Branchiopoda; Diplostraca; Daphniidae
Exons: 5
Source: RefSeq, a predicted model, not a curated record